GCUUAUGUUUCCCUACAUUGUUGAAGAAAAGCAAAUAUUUAUAUUGAACUUUGUUCUGUCACACAGGCUCAAGUAGAAACAUUUUAGCUAAUUCAUCAACAUCAGUCUCCACUGGACUAGAUUUCAACCCAAUGCUUCCUAGGAUACAUCUUGUUAGCAACCAUCACUUCAAAGCAAGAAGACGGCAAAACACACUGAGCAUUUUAAGCUUAAGUCUAGCAGUUUAGGAAAAAUCUGUAAAUACACAAGUGUGAGGAUAUCCAAACUACAGUUUUCCCUAAUUACCUCUGAAAGAAUCACAUGAAAUUAAUGUGCUCCCUGAAGCAAUCUAACAAAAAUUGUAUCAUUACUUUGAAUAAAGGUCAUAAACAUAUUAUGCAUGCAACAAUACUAUGCUUGAUGAACUAAAGUCUUGAAAGGACUUAAAACACUCCAAGAGCUAAACACCCCAAAAAUAUAUUAAAGUUCAUCUAUAACACAGUAAUUUAAAAUGAGAAAACCAUACCUGUUGCCAAGUCAGAUUUCUUUUUUCCCACAGAAUUAUCUUUCAAAAAAGGAGUUGCUAUGUAUUGAAAUCCUAGCACAGGUCCUUGUGUUACAGAGCAUACAAGGAAUGGCAAAUGUGCCACACUGGAAGAGCCUAAGUCAAUAGGACCUACAAAUGUAGGUUGCAACCUAGACAAUAUACUUUAAAUAAAAGGCCCCUAAUUCAAUGGAUAGGAUUAUUCUCAAAAAGCUACUUCCCAGUUUUCACCAUUGCACUAUUGUUAGGUAAGUUGACAACAUACAGGCAGUGGAGCAGAGAAUAUACAUAAAUUUUUUUGAAAGACUAACUUUGAAAUUAAGGGCUAGGAGAUAACUCAGUGACAAAGUGCUUGUUUAGCAAAUGCAACAUCCUGGGUGGAUCCCCAGUACCAAACAAGAAAAGACAAAAAAAAAUUCAAGAUUUAAAAAAAAUUAAUGCCAAUUUGUGACUAAAUACUACCUGGACUAAAAAAUAAAUACAAACUGACAGGAUUUUCUUCAAGUAUUGUCUGCCAGCUAUCCAAUUCUCCAAUGAGAGAACAACAAAUGUUAUGUUGUCUCUAGAGAUGUCUUAUAGCAUGCAAGCAAAUAUAUACACAGUGUAUGAGUAUUAUUUCUUCCCAGAAACAGAUCCCAGUCAUAGAGUUAUGCUAAGUACAUAUGAAAGGUGCUGCUACAGGCAUUAUUUCUGCAAUACAGUUUAUUAUGCCAAAAAUUGAACCCAAUACAUAUAAACUAAAAAGCUAAAACUUGAAUUCAAAUAUUUGGCUAAACAUACUAUGCAGAUGUCUAAGUAGGACAAUACAGCAAAGCUAAGUGGAGUUUGGGUCAGAAAAACAAAUACCACUCAAAAAUUACUAUUAAAAAACUAUGUAGCUUUUUCAUAAUAAAAUAAAUAUAUUUCUUAAAA
Perognathus longimembris pacificus (Pacific pocket mouse) is the source of this 1435-nucleotide long non-coding RNA. RefSeq lists it as uncharacterized. The transcript has 2 exons. Lineage: Eukaryota; Metazoa; Chordata; Mammalia; Rodentia; Heteromyidae. The record is from RefSeq and is a predicted model, not a curated record.